GCACUUCGUUUACACCGAAGAGAUGUCCGUGAAAACCUGACCAUUUUGA
RNAcentral lists this transfer RNA (49 nucleotides) under Minervarya sahyadris. RNAcentral's name for it is "Fejervarya sahyadris partial tRNA-Val". Lineage: Eukaryota; Metazoa; Chordata; Amphibia; Anura; Dicroglossidae. The record is from RNAcentral.